GUGCUUGUGCAGUGGCAGUAUUGUUGCCAACGAAGUUUACCCAAGGUGUGAUCAUUGCUGAUUGAAAACUUUUCCCACCACCCGACCAUGAUGACUUGAAAUACAGUCGACAUUGGCAGUUUUUGACAGUCUUUAUGGAAA
Molecule: small nuclear RNA, 141 nt
Organism: Aotus nancymaae (Ma's night monkey)
Lineage: Eukaryota; Metazoa; Chordata; Mammalia; Primates; Aotidae
Gene: U4
Rfam family: U4 spliceosomal RNA
About the family: U4 small nuclear RNA (U4 snRNA) is a component of the major U2-dependent spliceosome. The structure of U4 snRNA from yeast and human has been reported.
Source: Ensembl